This 69-nucleotide ribosomal RNA is filed under the name Cyanosporus caesius. RNAcentral's name for it is "Postia caesia partial 28S ribosomal RNA". The record is from RNAcentral. Lineage: Eukaryota; Fungi; Basidiomycota; Agaricomycetes; Polyporales; Postiaceae.
UUGACCUCUGACCUCAAAUCAGGUAGGAUUACCCGCUGAACUUAAGCAUAUCAAUAAAANNCNGGAGAG